Molecule: long non-coding RNA, 18560 nt
Filed under: Populus tremula
Lineage: Eukaryota; Viridiplantae; Streptophyta; Magnoliopsida; Malpighiales; Salicaceae
Description: long non-coding RNA (PTRE_LNC002661)
Source: RNAcentral
AGGAAACUUAUAGGAGCAAGGUACUUUAGCAAAGGCCACGAAGCUGCAGAAACACAUGAUUCUUCAAACCACACCGCGCGAGAUUAUGAUGGCCAUGGAACCCACACUCUAUCCACUGCUGGAGGUCGUUUUGUUUCGGGGGCAAACUUGCUUGGUUCAGCUUAUGGAACAGCUAAGGGAGGUUCGCCCAGCUCGCGAGUCGCUUCAUACAAGGUCUGCUGGCCCCGCUGUAGCGAUGCUGAUGUGUUGGCUGGCUAUGAAGCUGCUAUUCAUGAUGGGGUCGAUAUCCUCUCAGUGUCACUUGGAUCCGGUCCGAGAGAAUACAUUACUCAUGGGAAUGCAAUUGGAGCAUUUCUUGCUAUGGAGCGCGGGAUUCUUGUGGUUGCCUCGGCUGGAAAUGAAGGACCUGACCCUGGAGUCGUAGGGAAUGUAGCUCCCUGGAUUCUUACAGUUGCUUGUAGCACUAUCAGUAGGGAGUUCACAUCUAAUGUCAUCCUCGGAAAUAACAAACAAUACAAGGUUCGUUCUGUAAGCUCAUAUCUUUAGCAAGUCCUUGUAAAUUGUUCUACCUAUCAUGGGAUCCAAGAAUUUGCUAUAUUAAUUUCUAGAUAAUCAGGGUAUGAGUUUUAAUACCAACACUCAACCAGCUGGGAAGUUUUACCCCUUGAUCAAUUCGGUGGAUGCUAAAGCUGCCAAUGUUUCCAGUAAUCAAGCGUAAGCAGCAAACUAAUUUUGUUCUCAGCCAAAAUUACAUUUUCUGUAGUUGUUAGGUUCAUAUUUCUUAUCUUGUUGUCUUUGGCAGAAAAUAUUGCUCCAUCGGAUCCCUUGACCCCUUGAAAGUUAAAGGAAAAAUCGUAUAUUGUACUCGCAAAAGAUCCUGAUGUAGAAAAGAGUCUGGUUGUUUCUCAAGCUGGUGGUGUUGGGGUGAUACUUGCUAAUCAAUUGAUAAUUCAACAAAUCCGACCUCGGGCACACUUUGUUCCUACUUCCGUUGUCUCUGCAGACGAUGGACUUUCCAUUUUAACUUAUGUCUAUAGUACAAAGUAAGGUCUAUGUAAUAGAUAAUUCAGACAAUUAAACUUUGUUGAUUUCAGUCGAUAAUGCCCUGAACAAUCUAUCGUUUGUGAUCCUGUGAAUCUCUUGGAACUUCUCUUUUCACUCAGGUCACCUGUAGCUUACAUAAGUGGCGCCACGAAGGUGGGAACAGUGGCUGCACCUGUCAUGGCUGAUUUUUCAUCUCCUGGGCCUAACUUCAUCACCCCAGAGAUCCUUAAGGUACGUACUCUUAAUAGCUUCACAUGAGCGUUUUAAAAUACAUGAUCAAUAUUAUUUUUAUAGUGAGAGUGCAUAUGUGAUGAUUUCAGCCCGACAUCACUGCACCUGGAGUCAAUAUUCUAGCUGCCUUCACCGGAGCAUCAGGGCCAACUGCUGUGCCAGGAGACCGGCGCCGAGUACAUUUCAACUUUUUAUCUGGAACCUCAAUGGCAUGCCCCCAUGUUUCCGGAAUCGCUGGUCUUCUCAAAACUAUUCACCCUGAUUGGAGUCCUGCUGCAAUUAAAUCUGCAAUCAUGACAACAGGUUAGUGCUUUUCUGCUCUUCGCAUUAGCAUCUCCAAGUGCUUCUCUUCUGAUAGCUUGAGUGGUUGCUUAUGACAUUUCAGCGACAACGAUCAGUAAUGUGAAGCAGCCUAUCGCGAAUGCUUCUCUUCUUGAGGCAACCCCAUUGAAUUAUGGUGCCGGGCACAUAUGGCCUAGCCGUGCAAUGGACCCAGGCCUGGUCUAUGACCUAACGACUAAAGAUUACGUGAAUUUUCUAUGCUCCAUUGGCUAUAACUCAACCCAGUUGUCACUUUUUAUUGGUAAGCCAUACAUAUGCCCGUCGCAGAACAAUGGUCUGCUGGAUUUCAACUAUCCAUCCAUUACUGUCCCGAAUCUCUCAAGCAAUAAGACCACGUUGUCCCGAACCUUGAAGAACGUGGGGACUCCAAGCUUGUAUAGAGUUAAUAUCAGGGCACCUGGAGGCAUAUCUGUGAAGGUUGAGCCAAGAAGCUUGAAGUUCGAUAAGAUAAACGAAGAGAAAAUGUUCAAGGUCACUCUAGAGGCCAAGAAAGGGUUUAAGAGUAAUGACUAUGUGUUUGGAGAGAUAACCUGGUCUGAUGGGAAACACCAUGUGAGGAGUCCUGUUGUGGUGAAGAAGAUGGAAGUAGCAGCCUAAGGUUGAAGGACACUGACCAGGCGUCUGGAUUUGUAGGUGGAAGGCCAGCGUGUAGAGAUCUAUAUAUCUCCAUGGUCACCAAAUCGAUCUUCAAAUUCCCGUUCCAUGUCAUGACAAGUAUCGAAUGUCACCAAAUCGUGUCAUUUUUUUUAUGCCACUAAUCUAGUGAUUGAACUAAGAAAAUAAAAAUAAAAAUAAAUGGUUUUGUUUUAGAAUAUUUUGGAAUGGUUUUUGGUUUUUAUCUACUUUCUAUUGAUUUUGUUUAGUUGCUUUAGUAUUUUUGUUUUUCUAUUUAUAUGUUAUUUAUGGCUCUGUUUUUUACCUUUUGUUGUGUGACAACUGAUUAGGUUACUGUGCAUUAAGUUUUUUGAGAGUGCAGGUAAUGCUGUGAAGCCUAGCUUACCAUCUUUCAUUUAUUAACAAAAUCUUAUGAUAAAGACAUUCAAUUGUCAUAUCCCUCAAUUGGAGAACAAAAGGAUAUCCAUACAUUUUGUAGGUGUCAAAAAAUAUGAAAGAUCUAUUUAUGUUAUUUAUUUACCUUAGUUUUUUUUUAGGCUUAAUAAUUCUAUCUAGAAAAAUUAUUUCUAGUAUCUAAUUAAUAACAUAUUGCACUGCGAUUAAGCUAACAAUGAAUGAAUUCCCACAAAGAUUUAUCUACUUAUCGUGGCUUUUUUUUUUCUUCUCUUUAGGCUUCAUAAUUGUACCCAAGAAAAUCACAUAUUGCAUUACAAUUAAGUUAAUGAUGAAUGAAUUCCUACAAAGACCUUUUACCGAAGAAUGUGACCAUCUUAAGAGGUAGUAUAACAUCAUAAUUUUCUAAAAUAUCUUAGGUGUUGUUUUUGAACAAGUAUAUCCAAUUCAAACAUAAUAGUAAUAUAUAUUAUUUGGAAAAUUCUACGUUCAAUUUGUUCUUUGUCACUUAACUUUUUUUAUUCUUAAUUUAAUCAUUUCACAUUAAAUUAAUUUAGGAUUGAGUUUAAUGUUUUAUUUCAGUUGGGCUCUAGCGAUAUUAAUAAUAAGUUUUGAUGUUAAGUUGAUGAUUAAUUUGGUAAAAUAAAAUUUAAAUUUAUUGAUUCAAAUCAAUUAAAAUGUCAACGACUUAAUUUUAAACUGUAAAUACUCAGUCUUUUUUUCUUUAAAAAAUAAUAUUUUUAUUUCAACUUUCUAACUCAAUUUUUAAUUGAAACUAACAUAUAUAACGCAUGAAUACAUCAAACUACAGCAACAAAAGAGCAGUCUUUUGUUGUAGAGUAUGAACAUAAAAUUAAACAGUCUUCUCUAAUUUAGAGCAUAAAAUAAAAUCGAUGUGCUAAUAGCUAACCAUAAACAGACAUAUUGAGGAAUUAAACUGCUGGCAUGGUCAUACCCUCCUGUUGAUAUAAUUGGGUCAAAUGGAAUAUUUAUUUUAAGCAAAAGCAAGAAAAAAGUAGUCUAAAAUAUGAUAAAGUAGUAGUAGUUGUGUUAAGCAAAAAGGAAGAAAUGUUGUCUUAUCAUCCCACGUUUUUGCCUGCAUGGACCGACGGAUCGCCUGCGAGAAGAAUGCUUUUUUUUUUUUUAAAGCAUUCUUCUCAUAGGCGAUCCGUCGAUCUAUGCUUGAACAUGUAAGAAAAGUAAACCUAAUGUAUUCUCGGAUCUUUUAUUAUUAUUAUUAUAAAGAAUAAGUUUGAACUCCAUCUUUUUCUAAAAGAAAGGAGAUACGAAUACUAUUACAAAGAAAAAAAAUGAUUGGGAUUUUGAAAUUACUGUAUACCUAGACAUAAUGUAUUGUAAACGGAACAAUAUAAUUAUGUUUUUGCCUUUAUAUAUAGAAAAAAAAAAAACAUUAGACUAGCUAUUGGGAGUAAUACUGAAUUUUUUCAUGGACCAUGUGUUCAUUAUUAUAUUUAUUAGGGACAAUGCAGUCUGUUUACAUUUUUAUAGAACAAUGUAAUGACUAGAAUAACCUUAAAAUCAAAAUAAUUUUAUCUGAAUUUAGAGAUUGACUUGUUUUUUCAUUUUUAUAUGUAUAAUGAGUCUACAUACUUAACCUUGGAUGCAAAUUUUAUUAAACUUGGGAUCGAGGGCUUCUUUGUAUUUUCAUCAUUAUUUUUUAGUUAUAAUAUGGUCAAGUUUGGGGUAACUUGGUAUUUUAGUAAGUGUAAGAAAUAUUUUUUUUAAAAAAAAUGAUUGACGUGUACAACACACACAUUAACGUGUUAGGCGGCAUAUGCGGAUUUAUAUGGUGUUAGAAAAUGGCCAUCCGUGACGGUUAACAAUCCUCUUGGCAUCCCUUUUCUGAUGAAGUGGCGGCGUGUGCAGCGGUGUGGCUCCUACCACUUUUUUUUUUCUUCUCACUUCUCCUUGAAAAACAAGUUACCCAAUCAAAAAUCUAUAUUUUCCUUUUAAUUUUUUUUUUUAAGUUUAUGAUUUAGUUUCCUUUUGAUUAUCUUAUUUUCAUUUUGAUUUUUUUUGAAAACUUUAAAUUUUUUAUUUAUUUUGCCUUUAAUUUAAAUGUUAUUUUUAUUUCAUGUUUGAUUCUCUUUCUUUUGAUUUCUUAUUUAUGUAUUGAUUUUAUUUUUUUUGUAAAAUGUAAGAUUUUUUUCAAAUUCAGCCUAAAAUCAAACAAUGUUAUUUUUAUGCUUUGUCUGUUUUUGUUUAACAUUUGAUCUUUAUUAUUUUAUAUUGCUAUUUUAUUUUAUGGAACCUUUUGUCAAAUUAUUUUUUUUUCUUUCAAUUUCAUCCCUCAAUCUUGGGUUGGUUAGUUAGAAAUUGAGGGUCAUGGUUUUUUUCAAUUGAGUUACACCAGUUUCAUGACUCUGGUAAAAAAUUUAAAAGUUUGGGUCAACUUGGGUGGUGUCGACUUUUUUCCCCCUCUUUUUACACUAAUUUCCUUUUAGUUUUACUCCUUUAAUACUUUAGAUUUGUGAAGUUAUUCGUGUUUUCUUCAAACUCAUUUUUAAAAUCUAACUAGAUUUAUUUCACUCCAUUAUCAUGGUCUCUUGACCUUGAUAGUAAGUUUUUCUAUUUACCUAGGGAUCGCUCUACGUUUUUCUUUUGGAGUUAUCUUUUUAAAAUUGAUUAUUUUUUUCUAGUUUAGUUGUUCAUUAUUUUUCUUUGCAUUUAGGCUCCGUUUGUUUGCAGGAAAGUGAAUUCCUUUUUGAAUUGGAAAGUGAAUUCCGGGAAAGUAUUUUCCGAUGUUUGGUAGUGUUAUGGAAAAUGAACUGGAAAACACUUUCCAGUGUUUGGUUAUGUCAUGGAAAAUGAGCUGGAAAAUAACUUAUUAUAUUUUAUUUUUUUCAAGUUUAUUAAAUAAUGAGGAACAAAUUUACAAUUAAAAAGUUGAAUGAUAAUGAAAUUGAAAAAAAAUAUAAUUUCAUAAAUUAUCUCAAAUAAAACAAAUAAUAAUCAAAUAAUAGGGUCAAAUCUAAAAUUAAAAAAAAAAUGAAAAAUGAAGAAUUAAAUAAUAAUAAUCAACAUUUCAUAAAUUAUUUCAAAUAAAAUAAGUAACAAUCAAAAGAAUGAGGAUCAAAUUUGAUAAAUAAAAAAUUUCAAUAAAAAAUGAUAAGAAAAAAGCAAAUAGCAAUUAUAAAAAUAAGGACAAAGUUAAUAUAAAAUAAAAUUUUAAGAGAUGAAAUUGAAAAAUAAAUAUUCAAAACAAAAUAUAUAUAGUAAUCAAAAGUUUGAGGAUCAAAUUUGAUAUAAUCAGCAAAUAAUGGCAUUUCUAAAUUUUUCACAACUUCCGGAAAGUGUUUUCCCCUCAAAUUUUUCAGGAAAACACUUUCCUGAAAACCAAGCCAAAUUUUCCUUUUACUGGAAAGUGUUUUCCAUUGACCAACUUUCCUACUGGCAAAUAAACACAAGAAAGUUUGGAAAGUGCUUUCCCGGAAACCACUUUCCGGAAAACAAACACAGAUAAAAGGAAAACACUUUCCUGAAAACCAAGUCAAUUUUUUUUUUGACUAAAAUUGACUGGAAAGUGUUUUCCGUUGACUAGAAAGUGUUUUCCGCUGACCGGAAAUUGUUUUCCGUUGACCAACUUUUCUAAUGACAAACAAACACAAGAAAGUUUGGAAAAUGGUUUCCCGGAAACUACUUUCCGAGAAACAAACAAGUCCUUAGCUUCAUAAAUUUGGGAAAAUGAUGAUUUUUUAAAAUAAAAAAAAUACUUUUAUACAUAUAUAUGCAUUUAUAUUAUUUCUUAAAAAAGUGUUAAAAUUAGAACGACAAUUUAUAAUACUUCAAACAUGUUAUUGUUUCAUAGCUCAUCGAACUAGAUAUAUGUUAUAAUAUCUUAAUUACCAGCAUAGAUCAAUCUUAAUUAUAAUCCACCAUAAGUACAAUAACAUGAACAGGCCAUGAAUUAUGACACGGUGGUCUGCAACUGUAUCCUUCUGCUCUUUUGCUCUUCUUUUUCUCGACAAGUAAUUGUUGAGUGGGUCUUUGUAGCCCAGAAACCAACACUUUCUUUUGGGUGUGUGUAUAUAUAUAUUUUAUACUAUACCGCAAGUCUUGGAGACAAUCUUCCACUUUAUUAGCCAUAUAUUUGUGGGUUCCAUAUAAAUUCAACAAGAUCAAUGGCAAUUAGGAUUAUGUUUUGUUAAUAGAUUAAAUAGAUAAUUUGAUUCACGUCAUUUGUCUCUCAAUAUUAGAAUUAAUUACUCGGUUGAUUCUGAAAUUUAAUGAUAACUUUACGGAGUUAAUCUAAUGGUUAAGAAAUCAUGCUUUUAUCUUUAUUUUUUCAGCUAAACAUUUGGAAUUAACAUUCUAAAAAAUCCAUUAAAUUUCUUUAAAUAUAUCGAAUCGAUGUAUUUUUUUUUAAAGAAAAACUUAGUUUUAAUACUGGACACGCUAAAAAAAUAGGGUUUAAAUACUAUGGUGCACAACUUUGAUAAAUGUCGUUAUGAAAAAGCUUAUGCUGUCCACCUUUUCGACAAGCAUGAUACUCCUUUAAUCUUCUUUUCUAAGUAAAACAGGACACCACAGUUCCAUUUAUUUUUCCUUUUUGCUCCAAAAGACAGCUUACAAAGCCCUCCUCUCAUCAAAAGAGGAAGUAAAGUAAGAAGAAAAGGGAGAAAACAACAAUAAUCCCGAUGAUAAAGGGCCUAGCUAGCUACAGUACUGUUCCGUUUUAGGUUCCAGUCUUCUAUCAGUUGUGAGAAAAAGAAAAUGAUUUGGUUAAUGUAUUGCGUACAGCAGAAAAGAGAGGAGAAAACAUCAACAAUAAAAAAAAAAAAAGCAAAACAUUCAAGAACAGUAAUGCGGUGUUAUCAUUGCACUAACUCGUAAUGUAAAUUAUAAUUAGACAGUGAAUCCAGGAUUAAAGAGAACAUGCGUUGGAUCUAUGACGAGGAAAGAACAGAAAAUACCAAUGAAGGCCUUCGUCUAAAUAAAAUGGACAAUACACUGCAUGAAUCCACGGUGUUUUCACUCACAAAGCACAAUAAAUAACUUAGCUGAUUUAUUUAUUUAUUUAUUUUUAUUUUUUUUUUGUAACUGGGUGAUGUUUACGGUAAAAUAAACUGGAUUUCUUGUUUUUCCUUUGUUUUCACCUCUUUGCUGAGGGGAUGGAACUGUUGAAAGCUAAGCUAAUUACUUGUGAUUAAAGUCUUAGAAGAAGAUUACGUAGACCGAAGGAAGAAGGAUGAAAAAAUUGAAGAAAUUCUGUUAAAACAGUUAAAGAGUUAGUUAUAAUCGUUAUGGCAGUUAUAUCAGUUUUUACUGUUACAAAAACUGUUACAAAUCAUUCUUACAUGUGUAAGAAUCGUGACCCUCCAUUAAUGGAUGGAUGAGAUGAUCUUGAUUCCUAAAAUACCGGAAUCAGUUACAUACAAUGUAUAUAAAUGUAGAGUUUGCUGCAUUGAAAAAUAUAUAAAAAAUACACAAGAAUUUCUUCAUAAUCUUCUCUGCACAUUUAAACAUAUUCUUCUUUUUAAAACCUUCAAAAAAUAAACAUGGUAUCAGAGCUUACAAACUGAUUCCAAAGGGGCGUAAACUGUGACAAACAGAUUGAUUAAACUAUUACUUACUCAAAAAAUGGUAGGAUCAAGCUCUGUUGGAGGAGAUUUAAGAACUUCAUAGUUCAAUGGCACAAAUUAUGAUUUUUGGGCUGUAAAAAUGGAGACUAUCCUCAUAGCAUUCGAUCUAUGGGAAGUAAUAGAAGUUGGAAUCAAUUCUCAUCCAUCAUCUAAGGUUGCAACUGGAUCAUGCGAUGAAGAGAGUGAAGUUGAGCAAACUACAUUGCAUGCAUCCACGACAUCCAGAGAAGAAAAAAUCAAGAAUGCAAAGGCAUUAAGCCUUAUACAAGGAGCAUUAACAGAUGACCUCUUCCCACGAAUAAGAAAUGAAAAGACUGCAAAAGGAGCUUGGGACAUUUUGAGUAGAGAAUUCAGAGGAGAUAAAAAGGUUAGAGCUAUAAAACUUCAAGCAGUGAGAGCUGACUUUGAAUACCUGAGAAUGGCAGAAAGUGAGAGCUUAGAUGGAUAUCUAGCUAAAUUCUUUGCAACUGUGAAUAACCUGAAAUCAUUAGGAGAAGAUGUAUCAGAAAAUAGAAUUGUGCAGAAAUUGCUAAUGAGUCUAAGCAGAAGGUAUAAGUCCAUUAUGUCAAUCAUUGAGGAGACACGAGAUCUUGAUGUUCUGAGAGCAAAAGAAGUCAUUGCUUUUGUGAAAGUUUAUGAUAAGAGGGAAGAUCUACAUGAUGAAAGGGAUAAGCUAACAGGAAUAGAGAAAGCCUUUAGCAGUUUAAAGAUUGAAAACAAUCAAGCCUACAGCUCACACAAGUGUUUCCAAGGCAGACAUCCUCAAAGAUGGCAAUCACAAGACAGGAGAGGACCAAAUCCAUUUCCAAACAGAAAUGGAACCAACUAUAAUAAUGCAAGCUAAAACAACACUGCUUGGGGAAGUAGUCAAGCGAGUGUAAAGCCACAAUGCCAAGUCUGCCAGAAGCAACAUUUUGGUUUAUGUAGACACAAAGGAAAACCAAGAUGUGGAAGAUGCAACCGGUUUGGCCAUAUUGCAAAAGAUUGCGAGAGUCGCAGUCACAAACAACUAGCAAAUUAUGCCAAAGAAGAGAGAGUUACCACAGGAACUGUCGCACGUGUGCGACGUUGCGGCGAUCACCCACCACCCCAUGUAUGAAGGUGUGGUAUGUAUCUAUCUAUUGUGAAAAAUAUGGUGAGACAAGGAAUUCUUUGUCUCUUAGCGGUGAAAAAUGGACCGGAAGUCGCCACCUAGUAUUCUAGUUGUUAGGAACCCUAACUGGUCUUUAGAGAUUAGGUACGGAGACUAGUUGCGUAAAGGGAAGGUGUUAACACCCCAACUACUCCCUACCUACGGUAGGUUGCAUUGUUUUGUCUAAUAAAAUCUAAGUCAUGUUGUGGUUUCUUAUUGUUCAGAAUAUGCAUUACGUGUAAUGUCAUACCCCAGGUUCUAUUGUCCGAAAAAAAGAAUUAAAUAUCCGGAAUACACAAUACGUGUAAUAUCAUGCCCCGGAUACUAAGAGAUAAACAAAAUAAAAUUUUUGUUUGUUUUUGAAAUUUUGGCCAAUGUUCUCUUGACUUUAAUAAACUGGUUAUUAAAGCCAAAAUACAUGCAAACAUUGAUUUUUGGUGUAUAUAAAAAACACAAUAUGAUUUUUUAGCUUGGAGACACUUGGCCGUAUGCACAAAAACAUUUUUUUUCUUUUUUUUAAUUUUUUUUUGUAUUUUUGGAAAUUUUGAUGAAAACCGGGUAUUUUAAUAUCGGAUUUUGUAUUUUUAGCAACAUAAAAACACUGCUUGAUGUUAAUCAAAAUGACAUAAAAAAUACACGGAAACUUGUAAAAUUACAAACAAAUAUUUUUUUGAAUUUUUUUUAACAAAAAAAAGGGGCCAAAUUUGGCCCAACCAUCCUGGGCUGGGCCUGACCCGGCCCAUAUAUUGUGGGCUGGACUCAACCUAGCCGUAUGGGCUGGGCUGAUGUUCCAGCCUGUAACCAAUGAAAGGGGUUGGUUACUGUACGCAGCACAGUAACCAGUAAAAAAUAUAAUUAGCUAGUUAUUGUGCUAAAUCUUCAUUUGCUGCAGAACGUAAACGUUUUGCAUGCAAAUGAAGCUGAAGCGAAAAACAGACAGGGGAGGGGAGAAAAUUACCUGGAGCGAUGGCGACGCUGGCGACGCUGGCGACAACGGAUGUGGCAGGGGUGGUGGUGUAGGCGGCGACUAUUCUCUUUCCUUGUCUCCUGUUUCCUCUGUUUCUCUUCUCAGCCACCCUCUCCUCUACCUUUUUUUCAUUGUCUGCUCUUCUUCUCCUCUUUCCCUUUGUGGCUGUCAGUGGCGGUUGGAGAUGGCAGUGUCAGCGGUGGUCAAGUGGUGUGCUAUGGCGGUGGAGAGGAAGCAUGAUGGCAGCUGCGGUUGUUCUUCUCCGGUAUAAAUAUAUUCUUGUCACUUCCCUUUCUCUUCUCUGCCUCCUUUGCCGGUUUCCCUUUCCCUCCUCUGCCUUCCCCAAAUAUUCCCCUCCCUUUUUCUGUAAUACUUCCCUCAGGUGGUUCCAGCUUUCCCUUCUCUCCCAGUCUUUCUCUUUUUCGGUCUCUUUAAUAAACUCUCAGUUCUUUCUCUUGGUUUCCCUUAAAAAUCAUUCCCAGCUUCCUCCCUUUUUCUCCUCUCUUUUCUCCCUUCUUUCGGCACUCCCUCCUCUGGUAUUUAUAGGCAGAGGAGGGGAGGGCCACCUUACCCUUGUCAUGGUGCAGGGUAAGGUGAGCCGGGGAGUUGUUCGCAGGGUAUGGUGCUUUUAGUGCGAGGGCUUGGUGGUGUUAGUGAAGGGACAAGUCGGGUCGUCGUUGGGUUUUCGGGUUUUGGGACAGAGAGAGAGGGGGGAAUAGAAAACAGGGGAAAAAUGCUUCUUCUUCCCUUGCUCUUUGCGUGUGCAGGGGAAGAAGAAAGCUUAUGGUGCCGUUCACAACGACACUGUUUGCCCUUUUUUUUUUUUGAAAAUGCAUGAAACGGCGCCGUUUUGACCAAAACGCGUUGUUUCAUUUAAAUGAAAACAGGCGCCAGAAUGCAUUCAAUUUCAGAUCAGCCCCUCAAUUUGCGCGCUUUUUCAUUGUAGUCCUUGGUUUUGGAUUUCUUCGAUUAAGUCCUUAAUUGGCCACCAGACUUCAAUAUGCAUGCAAUUAAGCCCCUGAUUUGACCCAAUCAACUCUAAAAAAUAUAAUUUGACGUCAGAACUUCAAUUUCUUCCAAUUAAAACCCCAAAUUGACUUUAAAAUCAAAUUUUCUUGCAAUCAAACCCUCCAAUAAUUCAAUUAAACUUUCAAUAAAAUUUAAUUGAGUCCAUAAACAUCUGAUUUUGUACUUUUCUUCCUCUAAUAAAAUUUCCUUAAUAAAAAAGGCUCUCACUGGUCAAUGAUAUACUGUCAAAUUUCAAUUCAUUGAUAUAUUUUUGAUAUAUUUUAUUAUUAUUAUUAUUAAUUAAUUUUUUUAAAAUAAUUUUUUUUCUUGUUUCUUAUACGGGGACCAAAAAAAGGGUUGCAACAGGAACCAUGUUCUAUGCUUGCCAUUCUACAAGUCUGCAAGACAAAAAGGUAUGGUUUGUGGAUAAUGCUUACAACAACCACAUGACCUCUCAAGAAUCCGAACUAAUCAACAUCGAUAGAAUAGUAACCUGCAAAGUAAAGAUGGGCUCAGGAGACCUUGUGCAAGCAACUGGCAAAGGCACAUUGGUUGUAGAAACUCAACAUGGGAAAAGAUACAUAAAAGAGGUACUACUUGUUCCUGGAUUGGAUGAAAACCUAUUGAGUGUAGGGCAUGUGAUGGAGCAUGGUUAUUACAUUCUGUUUGGAGAUAACAAAGCAGUAAUAUUUGAAGAUGAAAGCCUCAACAAUGUUAUAGCAAUAGUGAUCAUGAGAGGAAAUCGAUGCUUCCCACUUUCACUUGAAUCCAUCACACCUGCAGCAAGGAAAGCUUCAGUGACUGAGGAUUCCUGGAUAUGGCAUAGAAGACUGGGACACUUGAAUUUUGCCAGCAUGAAGAAGAUGCAGCAGAAGGAGAUGGUAUGCGGGCUUCCUGUUCUGACAGAAGUAGAAGAUGUUUGUGCAGGCUGUGCAUCAGGCAAACAUCACAGGGAGAAAUUCGACAAAGAGCAAGCGUGGAGAGCAAGUGAUCCACUGGAAUUAAUCCACACUAAUUUGUGUGGACCAAUGCAGAAUGAAUCCAUAGGAGGAAAUAGAUACUUUAUCACAUUCAUUGACGAUUACUCAAGAAUGUGUUGGGUAUAUUUCCUCAGAAACAAAUCUGAUGCACUCAAUGUGUUCAAGAAAUUUAAGGCAUUUAUUGAGUUGCAAAGUGGAUAUAAAUUAAAGAAGCUGAUAAGUGACAGAGGUAAUGAAUAUACUUCAAAAGAGUUUAAAGAAUUCUGUGUAAAACAAGGAACGGAGAGGCAACUGACAGUUUGAUACUCUCCUUAAUAGAAUGGAGUUGCAGAGAGGAGAAAUAGAACAAUUUGUGAAAUGGCAAGAUCCAUGCUAAUAGAGAAAGAAAUGUCAAUAAUCUUCUGGGCAGAAGCUGUGAAUACAACUGUGUAUAUUCAGAAAAGAUGUUACACAACAUCUGUUACUGAAAAGACUCCUUUUGAAGCCUUUACGGGAAGGAAGCCAGGAAUCAAGCAUCUAAAGGUGUUCGGUUGCUUGUGCUACACACAUAUCCCAUCAUCACUAAGGCAGAAAUGGGAUAGCAAAGCUGGAAAGAGAGUGUUUGUUGGGUAUGGUAGCUGUGAGAAAGGGUAUAGAAUAUAUGACCUGAAAACUGAGAAGAUUGUUCUUUCAAGAAGUGUGAUUUUCAGUGAAGAUAGAGCAUGGAAUUGGGAAAGAAAUUUGAUGAACCAAAGCCACUUGUCUUUCAAUCAUGAAGGGGGUGAAGUUGAAGGUGAAAAUUCUGAGGAACACUCUGCUGCAGUCCAACCCGAUAAUGUUGAACAUUGCAAUCAAAAUUCUACAGUUGGAGAGUUAGUUGAGAAGAUUGACAGUGAUAACAGUCAACAAUCUUCACCGAGCUCUACUCUAGUAAAAUUAAAAACCUUGGAAGACAUACAUGCAAGGUGUCACAUGUGCAUCAUAGAACCUGAGAACUAUCAAGAAGCUUUUGGAAAUAAAGCCUGGCAGAAAGCUAUGAAGGAAGAAUUGGAAGUGAUAGAGCAGAACAAUACUUGGGAAUUGGUGGAGAGACCAAGUGAUAAAACUGUGAUAGGAGUGAAAUGGGUGUACAAAACUAAGCUUCAUCUUGAUGGAACAGUUCAAAAACAUAAGGCUCGCCUUGUAGCAAAAGGAUAUGCACAAAAAUCCAGAAUUGACUAAAAUGAAACAUUUGCACCAGUAGCAAGGUUAGACAUAAUCCGGACUCUCAUUGCACUUACAACACAAAAGGGGUGGAAAUUGUUUCAAUUGGAUGUUAAAUCAGCAUUCCUAAAUGGUGUUCUUAAAGAAGAAGUAUAUGUUGAGCAGCCUGAAGGGUUUGAAGUAAAGAAUGCAAGACACAAAGUUUACAAACUAAAGAAGGCCUUGUAUGGAUUAAAGCAGGUACCGAGGGCCUCGUAUAGUGAAAUUGAUGCAUACCUCUCUAUGUGCAAAUUCAAAAGGAGCACAAGUGAAGCUACUUUGUAUACAAGAUCAGACAUGGAAGGUAAUUUGAUCAUUGUCUCAAUCUAUGUUGAUGACAUUGUGUACACUGGCAGCAAUGAGAGGAUGCUCAGUGAAUUUAAAAAGGAAAUGAUGCAAAGGUAUGAGAUGUCUGAUCUUGGAAUCCUUUAUCAUUUUAUUGGCAUGAGAAUACUACAAACCAAUCAAGGGGUGUUUAUUCAUCAAGGGAAAUAUGCCAAAUCCCUGCUUAGUAAGUUUGGACUUGAUGAUUGCAAACCAGUCUCCAUUCCCUUGGCCACUGGUGAGAAGCUGAAGAAGGUGGAUGGGAGUGAGUUGGCUGAUGAAGAACUUUAUAGAAAAAUAACAGGAAGUUUACUAUAUUUGACAGCUACAAGACCUGAUCUAAUGUAUGUUGCAAGUUUAUUAUCACGGUUCAUGGCUGGACUUACCAAGAUUCACAUGGGAGCUGCAAAAAGAGUUCUAAGAUAUGUGCAAGGAACUCUCAGCUAUGUGAUUGAAUAUGUAAGGGAUCAAUCAGCAACUCUCAUUGGAUUUUAUGAUGCAGAUUGGGCAAGAAGUAAAGAUGAUAGCAAGAGCACUUCGGGCUAUGCAUUUAGCUUUGGAAGUGGAGCAUUCUCCUGGUCUUAUAUGAAACAAAACACAAUAGCAUUAUCAACUUUAGAAGCUGAGUAUGUCUCAGCAUCUGAAGCAACUACUCAGGCCAUUUGGUUACGGUUUGUUCUUGAUGAUUUUGGUAAAAUGCAAGCUAAGGCAACACCCUUGUUCUGUGAUAAUAUGUCAACAAUUUCAAUGGCCAAAAAUCUAGUUUUUCAUCAAAGAACAAGACACAUAAACAUGAAGUAUCAUUUCAUAAGGGAGGCUUUGCAAGAAGGAGUAAUUAAUGUGAAGUUCUGCAGAAGUGAAGAACAACUUGCAGACAUCUUCACAAAAGCACUACCCAGAGACAGAUUCAAGAAACUAAGACUAAAUCUUGGAGUUAAAUCAGUAAACAGCUUAGGAGAUGUUGCUGAAAGCUAAGCUGAUUACUUGUGAUUGAAGUCUUAGAAGAAGACUACGUAGACUGAAGGAAGAAGGAUGAAGAAAUUGAAAAAAUUCUGUUAAAACAGUUAAAGAGUCAGUUAAAAUUGUUAUGACAGUUAUAUCAGUUUUUACUGUUACAAAAACUGUUACAAAUCAUUCUUACAUGUGUAAGAAUCGUGACCCUCCAUUAGUGGAUAGAUGAGAUGAUCUUGAUUCCUAAAAUACCGGAAUCAGUUACAUAUAAUAUAUAUAUAAAAGCAGAGUUUGCUGCAUUGAAAAAUAUAUAGAAAAUACACAAGAAUUUCUUCAUCUUCUCUGCACAUUUAAGCAUAUUCUUCUUCUCAAAACCUUUAAAAAAAUAAACAGGAACUGUGGUGCUGCUCAAGUCAUUGUCAAACAAGUGAGACAAGCAUUAAAGAACUCUAAAACGCGUGGGAAAAUCACUGUAGCAGCUGUGAUUUUUUUUUUUUUUUUUUAUAGAAGGUAGUUUUUUUUUUUUUACAUGUUUUUUUUUUUUUUUUUCCUGUAGCAGUUUUUUAACUAUAGCUUAUUAUUAUUUUUUUUUUUUUGCUUUUGUUUCUUCUUUUUUUUGUUACAUGUUUUUUUUUUUUUUACCUAAAAUUGACUUCUUUGUCUUUGUUUUUUUUCUUUUUUUUAAUUUUUUUUUCAAAAUUAUCUUUACUAAUUUUUUUAAAUAUUAAGCUGGUUAAAAAUUUAACUAUAUAGUUUUUUUCUUUAAAACAUUGUGGAUUGCUAUAAUAUUCUCAUACAUUGGUUUUUUUUCUUUUUAUGAUUUCUUUAGAAGAGCUCGAGACAUAUAUGAAAUAUCAACAUCUAAUCUCUGGUAUUGGAUAAAGCUUUCAGUAUGUGGAGAACAAUCAAACGAGAAUUGACAGGGAAUUGAGUGAUCAUGUUAAAGUUACGGAGCAUGCGAAGAAGAGGCCCACUGAGGCCAGAAAGCGCAGCUGGAGAUAAAAAUGGUCAGGAAAGUAAAGGAGGGAAGAAAAAGCUCUCUCUGGUUCUUCCUCGAACAGUAAGUAGUCUUCUUUUUUUUUUUUACCAAAAUUCCUCUCCUCUGGACUGAUCAUCCACCUCUCAUCGGUUCCAUGCUGUUUUUUUUUUUUUUUUUUUCAUAAUUAUAUGUCCACUGUACUAAAUCACCUCGUUUGAUCCCACAGCUUCACCCCUCGACUUGAUUUCGAAUAUGGUGAAGAUGAGUCAAGGGAUCCUCCUCUAGCAUUGGAUGCUUUGCGAUGUUGAUUUCGAUGGCUUACACAUGCUGUCUGCUCAUAAUUUCUUAUAUUCGUUUCAACAAUAAGAUUACGCCGAGUAAUCUCCAUCCCUCGAAAUCAUAGUAUUGCCCGAGUCAAAAAGCAUGAUUGAUUACCGAGCAAUACUAUCUCGACCACUGCAAAACACACUCUUGAAUUCCUGAAAAGCAGCAUGUCCUCGUGUAGGGCAUUACUACAUGCAUGAAAGUAUUAAGAAACCGGGAUCUUUGAGUAGAUCUUUCAAGUGGGAUAGGACCCACUUAAAAAAAUAGCAAGGCAAAAUUGAGGCCCAUGUGUAAGCAUACAAGGACAUCCAUUAAAGCCCAUGAGUAGAUCUUUCACUAAUUUUUAUUUAUCAAUUUUCCCAUAAAUUAUCUUGAUUUUCCAGUUCCCGUUAAAAUUAUUUAAUGAAAAACGUUAAGUACUUGUAAAAUGAUGCUAUUUUUUUAAUAGAAAAAAAGUGCAAUUUAGAAUAUAUUUUUUAAUAAAAACAUAAUUGAAAAGCCUUAAAGAUGAAUGCAAGUCGUUAACAAAACAAGUAGUUUUUAAAGUUUAAGAGUAAAAUCAGUAUGCAAAAUUAUGUAAUGACAAAAUUAAGACUAUUGAGAGUGUUUCUGAGACUUCGGCUUUUCUUCUUUGAAGCUUCGACGUAAGUGCUUUGGAGGGUGAGAGAAAUGGAGGAGAGAAGGGUUGACUAGCUGUAAACCAAUUAUUGACCCAGAGGGGUUCCUUUUGAGGUCACCAAAUUUCCACGAAAGAGAUGAAAUCACCUAUAAGCCCAAGCUCAAAGGUUACAGAAUGUAAAAAAAGGCAAGCUAAUCGUUGUUCUCUUAUUGAGCAAAAAGCAAAGCAAACAUGGGCAGGAGGACAGCUUCUUGCUCUCUGUUUCUGUUUUUCACUCUUUUCACAACCUUGCAGAGUCCAAUUCUGGCUGCAAAAAAGGCAAGCUAGCAUGCAUUAAUGUUGUCUGAUCGUUUAGUCUUUCAAGUUACAUUUGCAAUCUCUCUUAUGUUAUAAUUCUGCUACUGACAGUGAUACCCGUGUCUGUGUACGUGCAGUCUUAUGUGGUUUACCUUGGGAGACAUUCUUAUGCUUCUGAACCUUCCACCACUGACCUGGAUAGGGUAGCCGAUGCCCAUCAUGAACUUUUGGGUUCUUGUAUGAAGAGGUGGUGAUGCAGUCCUGAAUAUUUCUGCUGUGUGAUCAGUGCUGUAUUUGGUUGUUCUAAUACUGAUGAUUAAGUUUGAACUCGUUAUGACAGCAAGGAGAAGGCGAAACAAGCCAUCUUUUACUCCUACACUCGCUAUAUCAACGGUUUUGCAGCAGUACUUGAAGAUGAAGAAGCAGCUGAGAUUUCAAGUAUAUAUAAUACUAUUAAAAUUGUUCAGCUUGUAUAUCGUGCAAUCCUUGGUACUAUUACAAUUAUGGUCUUGUUAAUACGUUUUCAGAGCAUCCAGAAGUUGUAUCAGUUUCUCGAAACCACAUAAGUCAAUUACACACAACAAAUUCUUGGGGCUUUCUUGGACUGGAAAGAAAUGGAGAAAUUCCAGCUGAUUCUAUGUGGCUAAAGGCAAGAUUUGGCGAAGACGUAAUUAUCGGGACCCUUGAUACUGGUAAUUAUAAUUUUACAUGUCUGUGUACAUGCGUAGAACUGGUCAAGUCUCCUUCAUAUCAUUUCAUCUUCUUAAUUUAAAUGUUUCUUGCAUUCAAUUAUUUUGGACCAGGUACAGCUACAUUGCAUCUGAAAGAAAAAUCUCCAAUGAUGGUAAAUUUUUGAUCUAUUUUUCUUGACUGUGCAUGACGCUAGGUGUUUGGCCGGAAUCCGAAAGCUUCAAUGAUGAAGGGAUGGGGCCUGUUCCAUCUAAAUGGAAGGGAUACUGUGAUCCAAAUGAUGGGAUUAAAUGCAACAGGUACUUUAAUUUCUUUCUCAAGGCCAGAGCACUUUUCUUGACCCGAACUACUCAUUUUGCCUCUGAUAAUGAACCGCAGACAAAUUCUUCUGUUUCCUAUAGUAAGAUCAGUAACAUAAAAGAUAUGUUGUUAUUAGCAGGAAACUUAUAGGAGCAAGGUACUUUAGCAAAGGCUACGAAGCAGAAACACAUGAUUCUUCAAACCACACCGCGCGAGAUUAUGAUGGCCAUGGAACCCACACUCUAUCCACUGCUGGAGGUCGUUUUGUUUCGGGGGCAACCUUCCUUGGUUCAGCUUAUGGAACAGCUAAGGGAGGUUCGCCCAACUCGCGAGUCGCUUCAUACAAGGUCUGCUGGCACGGCUGUAGCGAUGCUGAUGUGUUGGCUGGCUAUGAAGCUGCUAUUCAUGAUGGGGUCGAUAUCCUCUCCGUGUCACUUGGAUCCGAUCCGAGAGAAUACUUUACUCAUGGGAAUGCAAUUGGAGCAUUUCUUGCAAUGGAGAACGGGAUUGUUGUAGUUGCCGCCGCUGGAAAUGAUGGAC